AGCAGCCGCGGUAAUUCCAGCUCCAAUAGCGUAUAUUAAAGUUGUUGCAGUUAAAAAGCUCGUAGUUGAAUUUCGGGGUUCAUACAUUGGUCGGGCUUUUUUGGUCUGUACUUAUGUAAUGGAUUCCUACCUUCUGAAUAACCGGCAUGCCAUUAAUUUGGUGCGCCGGGGAAGCAGGACUGUUACCUUGAAAAAAUUAGAGUGCUUAAAGCAGGCUAUCGCCUGAAUACAUUAGCAUGGAAUAAUGAAAUAGGACGGCAUGGUUCUAUUUUGUUGGUUUCUAGGAUCACCGUAAUGAUUAAUAGGGAUAGUUGGGGGCAUUAGUAUUCAAUUGUCAGAGGUGAAAUUCUUGGAUUUAUUGAAGACUAACUUCUGCGAAAGCAUUUGCCAAGGAUGUUUC
RNAcentral lists this ribosomal RNA (400 nucleotides) under uncultured Acaulospora. Its description in RNAcentral is "SSU rRNA". It matches the Rfam family "Eukaryotic small subunit ribosomal RNA", at positions 569 to 970 of the family's 1831-position model. The record is from RNAcentral. Lineage: Eukaryota; Fungi; Glomeromycota; Glomeromycetes; Diversisporales; Acaulosporaceae.